CAAUGUGUCUCAGAGUGUUGU
This 21-nucleotide microRNA is filed under the name Sarcophilus harrisii (Tasmanian devil). Its description in RNAcentral is "Sha-Mir-12475-P28_3p (mature (guide))". The record is from RNAcentral. Lineage: Eukaryota; Metazoa; Chordata; Mammalia; Dasyuromorphia; Dasyuridae.